This 297-nucleotide signal recognition particle RNA is filed under the name Saimiri boliviensis boliviensis (Bolivian squirrel monkey). RNAcentral's name for it is "Metazoan signal recognition particle RNA (ENSSBOG00000003852.1)". It matches the Rfam family "Metazoan signal recognition particle RNA". From Rfam's summary of the family: The signal recognition particle (SRP) is a universally conserved ribonucleoprotein. It is involved in the co-translational targeting of proteins to membranes. The record is from RNAcentral. Lineage: Eukaryota; Metazoa; Chordata; Mammalia; Primates; Cebidae.
GCCAGGCGCGAGCACGUGCCUGUCGUCCCAGCUACUUGGGAGGCUGAGGCUGGAGAAUCCCUUGCUUUCAGGAGUUCUGGACUAUAGUGCGCUAUACUGAUCGGGUGUCCGCACUAAGUUCGGCAUCAAUAUGGUGACCUCCUGGGAGCGGGGGACCACCAGGUUGCCUAAGGAGGGGCGAACCAGCCCAGGUUGGAAACUGAGCAGGUUAAAACUCCCGUGCUGAUCAGUAAUGGAAUCACACCUGUGAAUAGCCACUGCCCUCCAGACUGAGCAACAUAGUGAGAAGCUGCCUCU